Non-coding RNA from Mus caroli (Ryukyu mouse), 978 nucleotides. The record is from RefSeq and is a predicted model, not a curated record. Lineage: Eukaryota; Metazoa; Chordata; Mammalia; Rodentia; Muridae.
UGCAAGAGAACAAGCAUAAUGCACCCAGCCCCAGCCUCUCCGGAGGUGUGCCUGUGUGCCUGUCGGGUCUUCAGUCCNUGAAGCUGUGCAGAGACCACAAUGUGUCAGUGUCACUAAAUGUGUGCUGCUCAGAGGCUGGGCACGUAGCUCAGUGAUAGAUUCUUUCUGGCCUUGGGAGGGAGACCCCAGAGGUGAAGUGACAUCAAGACACGUCACGUGACCUAUCAAGCCUGCAGGCACAGCGGAAGCUGCAAGAGAACUGUGACACGUGACAGCCUACAGAUCACACCUGGAGGUUCAAGACUGUCACUUCUUUCAAGAGGGAGCCUGGCUGCGAAUAAGGAGGAGCUGAAACCAUGAUCUGUUUCCCAGGGGACUAGUAGGGAAAAAUGGCACCNGCCGGCGCAGCCUCAGANCCAUGUCAGGCCAUCCUAACAAAGCCUGGCUUUCUGUAACUCACAGCCGAGCCCNGGAGGCUGACACCCUACAAGGGCCCCAGAGGACCCUCCCUACUGCAGGGCUUCUCACUCCACUUUCAACUUAAGGCUGCCCUAGGGGAAGAGGANUUGGGGGGUAGGGGCGAAGCUUUCNGGGAAAUUCAGCCCUUUUCAAGAGGCUUCUGGGAGUUGUAGUUCAUAUAGGUCCUUGCAUGCAAGCACGUUUCUGUGUUCGUCCCCCGUCCCUUCCCCCCCACCCCCCACCUCUUUGAGGCUUCUAUUACUCCAGAACCCCGGGAAAGGUCAUAGNUUCUAGUUCCUGGAGGCAUCCGACCUGAUGGAUUCAUGGCAGAAAAUGAACUUUUGAGAUAUGAAAUAUAAUUCUACACUCGUCUUUUAACGGAUUACUGUGCAUCGCUUUGCUGUAUCAGGCCUGACUCAUUCUCUCACCUAUGUAUUUUUAAAACGUCUUUAUUUAUGACUUUCAAGAACUCUGAUAUGCAACAUGAUGGGGAAAUUUCAGACACCUUUUUCAGUUAGA